AAUUCACUUAUUUACAACUGGCCCUUGUCGUUUCACUGCAAGGCUUCUCAUUCAAGAGCUGAUCCUCUCCAUGUCGCUCCUCCUUCCCGAAGCUGGCCUCCUGUUUCAGAAGUCUACAUGUUCUCAUAUUCAGCUGCGUCAGGCAUUUCUGUAAACUCUUUCACCGAGCUAUGGCCAAAAGGGAUUAAAUAGUUGCUAAUCUUCAAUCAUCCGGCGUUUCCCUGGGAUCAGUGCUGGAGGAUGGCCCUGCCGUGCCGUUUCAGCCUCCGGUUCCUUAAUGACAGUAAACCCAGGGGAAUCACAGGCUGGUUAGAGGUGUCCAGAAACUUCUUGGUUAAGUGAUAAGGAACAGCACAACUUCAAACAGAACAAACUGAUCACCUGCUGCCUCCUCAAGCCUUCCAACCGGUAUCACUCCCUCGGUACUACCUGCUUCCUAUGGAAGCACCUACAUGUUGUUCCCCUGUGGAGGGGCAAACAGCUACCAGACAUUUCCCUUUGAAGAAGAAAAUAUCAUUUCACAUCUACUCUGUGAUGAAUUACAGCAAGAGUUAUUGCCACCAGCCUGGAUACAUUAAUACUGAAGCUAAUCCGUGUAUCUUUUCAUGUUUUAUAGCUUCUUAACUCUGAUGCUUAGGACAGCAUAUUAAUAAACUUGGUUAAAAAGCCUAUUGGAAAUCUUUCACUUCCUUAGCUUAACUUGUGAAGUAUUAAUCUGCCUAUCUGUCUCUAGCACUAAUCUUAGUGCCAAGGAAGCUGGCAAAAGAACUGCUUGCCCUUUGCGGGCACUCAAG
Molecule: long non-coding RNA, 794 nt
Organism: Calidris pugnax (ruff)
Lineage: Eukaryota; Metazoa; Chordata; Aves; Charadriiformes; Scolopacidae
Exons: 3
Source: RefSeq, a predicted model, not a curated record